AUGCUGACGGUGACAGAGCCAUGCCUCUGUCCGUUCUCUGACUCUGCAGGGCCUCGGAGGGUCAAGCCCGGAAGUGUGGAGGUCAACAGAGGGCCUGUGGGCUCCCAGCUCCAUGUGGGAUGUGGGAAAGAGGGCCGGCCUUGGGCUUGUUGCAGAAGCAAGACACGCAGCACUGGCGAGAAGCAGAUCAGCAGCUUUUGGGACGAGAGGAGUCGUUACCAAGUGCCUAUGGGCAUUUGGGUGGGAGGGACCAUUUGUGCUUCCGCCAUCUGUGAUGUGGAGUAUUCACUGUACCUGCCACAGGUCAGUGGGGAUCAUGGCUUUCACGGAUGCAGAGAAGAGUUGGUAGAUGAGGAAUGUGAGACCCUGAAGGGACCUCUAGGACCAUCUGCCAUCAUCUCAUCUUUAUGUGGUUCUCUGGAGAUGAGCCAGGCUCAGAGGCCACACCAUGGCAGCAUGAGCUGGGGACAUCACACCCAAGCCCAGGGCUCUGGGCUCCACGGCCAGUGUCCUUCCUGCCGCAGCAGGAGCUCCUCAGUGCAUUAUCUGAGUCCUGGAUUUGCAAUGUUGACCGGAACAGCCGGCCUGGCCAAGAAGUUCUCCUGUCACAUCCACCAGUGGAUUCCCCUGCUGGAUUUUUUUCAAACAUAUGAAGUAUUUAUGCUGGAGUUUCAAUGUGACAUGAUGGGAGAUACAAGAAGCCUUCAAAGGACUUGACAACAUGCAGGUCAGUCCUGUGGGCUCCAUCUAUAAAACAAAUGUUUGUCAUCCUCCGGUAAGCACUUCUUACGGAUAAAUAAAUAAUCAGGGAGCUAAUCGAGUGUGCACCUUGCCACACGUUUAUAUGUAUCCUUUUCUUUGCACAUCAAUAACCCCAUUGGAA
This 883-nucleotide long non-coding RNA is filed under the name Pan troglodytes (chimpanzee). Its description in RNAcentral is "lncRNA (ENSPTRG00000054574.1)". The record is from RNAcentral. Lineage: Eukaryota; Metazoa; Chordata; Mammalia; Primates; Hominidae.